AAAGACAACAGCCAUGUCUUGAGGCAGCGAAUGCACAGGGAAGUGCCACUCAUAUGUGCAAGGAGCCAUCACUACAGUGAGGCACCAUGCUUCCUCACCACAAAAUCGGUCCUGAAGCCUCACUCUGUUGUGAGUGGUGCACGGUGCGAUCCUGGCACUGAGUGGGCAGAGCAGUGAGUGGGGAUAGCAGUGUGCAGGAGUGACCCAGGGAGCUGUGCCCUACAGCAGAGCUGUGCAGUGUUCUGCAGGUUGGGGAGGAUUUCUUUACUGAUAAUAUCAGUGCAAGCGGUUUGCAGGGUGCUCAGUGAUCAUACAUGAAGCCAUCCCACUUACUCCUUCAUCAGCUGCUGCUCUCAUUUACCUACUUCUAAACUGUCCCAAAUCUACCCUGCUCCAGAACCAUAAAGCAGAACAGGAUUCUCCUAAACUGCUUCAUGUUUUAAUCAGUAGAAGUCUUCUGUGCUGCUCAUAACAUCUUUCCACUGUUCUUCGAACAAAGAGAAGAAAGAGGGUUUGGUUUUCCCAAGAUCAGUAAGUCCAGAAGAUUUAAACAGCUGUGCAGAGGAGACGCAUUGUCCCAUCCAAAUACAGAGACAAACGCCGUCAGAGUCCUCAUUAGCACUCUGCAUUGUUUUUCACUAAUCAAGUCAGUGUGAAUGAUCCUGCUCGUGAUUGUGCUUGAUUGUAUUAGUGUUACAGAUUGAACAGUCCAUUUUUUAAUCUGCGGAAAGCAGCAGCAUUAUUGCUGAACUAUAUUUAGAGAUUUUGUAGAUAGCAUACUCUGUUCUCUUACUGCUUCACUGUAAUAGGAUCUUACAUGUAGAGCCCCAGGGAAAAGGAAGUGUGCCCUACACAGGUGGCUGUGAGGUAGCUUUGCAUGAUGAACAUGUACAUUUCUGAGUUAGCAGCCACUUCACGUCCUCCUGUCUGACCAACAACCAUGGUGGUUCCAUACAAAAAUAUUGCCCCCACGCAUGUUAGUACAGCUCUUGCCACAAUGGUGGGGGUUGAGGCAGAGCCAGGCAGACGCUAAAGCCCAGAACCUUCUUCUGGGGAUUGGUAAAGCCAGGUCACUAAUGCAGAGGAGAAGGGAAAAGCAAAAUUUUAUAGUUUCAGGUGUAACUUCUAAUAGUUUUAUUAAAGUUCAGUCAGUUUCAGUGUUAGAAGGACAUAAUAUUCUGUAUGCUCUCAGCUCCUAGAUCCCCCACAAAAGUGAUGCGAAGAUUCCCUUUGUCCCACCUUUGUUAGGUGUCAGCAAGAAAUAAUGUAGUAACUGCACAGAGAAUAACCCUGCUCCAGUUUUAAAGCCACCAUUAUUUCAAAUGGCACUUUUGGUUUGGUAUUUUCAGAUUCCUAAAAUAAAAUUAGGUAGGGUUGAUAAGGAAGCGCACUCAUAGGCUACAUGCUCACUGAUGUAGGAAAAGAUAAUGCUCACUUCCAUCACGCCCUGACUUCAGUGCUGCUAAAUAAAGCCCAGAGGUGCCACUAUAGUUUUAAACCUCAUGGACAAAAUCACAUUUUGUAAAUGGCACCCACCUUGCCUGCACUUAUACUAU
This is a long non-coding RNA of Gallus gallus (chicken), 1556 nucleotides long. The record is from Ensembl. NCBI's taxonomy places the organism in Eukaryota, Metazoa, Chordata, Aves, Galliformes, Phasianidae.